ACAACAUGGCUAUCGGCGAUUAUCCUGCGGAAUAUAAUCCGAAGGUUCACGGACCAUACGAUCCUGCACGCUUUUAUGGAAAGCCCGAUACCCCGUU
Molecule: non-coding RNA, 97 nt
Organism: Anopheles culicifacies
Lineage: Eukaryota; Metazoa; Arthropoda; Insecta; Diptera; Culicidae
Source: Rfam